AGCUUUUUAACCGGUCGAUUUUUAUUUUAAAUUUUGAUCAAAACUUGUAUGUUUCCGAGAAGUUUAUUUCAUGUUGAUCAUUUUGGUGCAUUCAGUUUAACUUUUCAGACAUUUUUACACCCGAUUUAUUUUAUUUUACUUUAAAUUCUUUUAUUAUUGUUUUUUUAUCAUUAAAAUGUUUAGAAAAGAUACUUAGAAUUAGUUAUAUUUUCA
This 213-nucleotide long non-coding RNA is filed under the name Lathyrus oleraceus (garden pea). Its description in RNAcentral is "Pisum sativum (pea) long non-coding RNA (PSAT_LNC033138)". Lineage: Eukaryota; Viridiplantae; Streptophyta; Magnoliopsida; Fabales; Fabaceae. The record is from RNAcentral.